Molecule: long non-coding RNA, 1588 nt
Organism: Homo sapiens (human)
Lineage: Eukaryota; Metazoa; Chordata; Mammalia; Primates; Hominidae
Gene: LYPLAL1-DT
Product: LYPLAL1 divergent transcript
Source: Ensembl
GAGGAGCUUUCAAUACUUUGGGGUCAAGUUUGAGGCAGUUGUAACUGUACUGAGUUUAGUUUUGCUAAUAAUGGUAUUCUACGUGUGUCAGCCUCGUGUGGACUUCUGUAAUGACUAAUGGAUAUGUUUAUAUCCUGAGCAUUUGCUGUAGGAAUUUUAAAUGCAAUCCCAAAACUCAAGAUUACCUUAUUUGGAGAAAUAUUCGUGUUACUAUGUUUAAAAUUUAAUAGAACCAUAUUUUACCUUUCACUUUGGGACUCGCACAGGAUGUUUGCAGCUCUUGAUAUACAGGGUAAUCACCCUACUUACAGAACUAGAACGUGUCUUUUAAGAGCAUGCGGUUUUAUAAUUACGUGGAAGUAUGCUACGCAAGGGAAAAAAGCCUCUUGCUAGUGUUAAGGGUCUUCAUAAACAGAAACCGCAAGGAACCUGGGAUCUGACAGCUGUUGGAGGAAUGCCUGUGAGGAAGGAGGAGGAACAGAAGAAUGCUUUGAUGUCUUAAAUGGUACAUCCAAACUUAAGUGAAAUAGAGCUGUGAGGACAUUUUGGGGAGAAGUGACCUAGAUAAGCACUGACUGUUGCAUUCAUCUCUCUUCUUGCUGAUUGUGAUGAUUUCCUGUGCCAUAGCCAUUCAAAGUCUGCCAAAAAAGCUAGCAUGUAAUUUUCUUUCUCUACUUCUCUACAUUUGGAGGAUGGAAAUGUAGAUGUUCUUCCAUUGUGCCAGCCUCCUCAUUCUUCUUUCUCCAAUGCCGCAUCUUCCUGCAAACUUCCUGCCACAACUCAAACAACAGGAAAAUAAAUGAUCUGAAAUCCUCCUGAACUGCAGCCUACCUAUCGUGGUCUCUAUGGGUGCAAACUUCCUUCCAGAAGCUUGUUCAGCUGGCUAAAACAGGACAUUUGCCAAUGCAGCCAAAAGUUGGGUCUUAUACUGGCUACCUCCUAUGCAGAGUGAAAAACUUUUCUUUCUCCCACAGCCACAGACAUCGCUCCUCUUCCAGCUCAACAUCUUUCAAAGGGAUGGCUCUCAGUCCCGAAAUGAAAAGAAAAGGUGGCUUGGUGCAAAUCAUUCUCUUUAUCAGCAAAAGAAAUACCAAAGCCUGUGUCCUUCUGACAUAGUGAGCUGUCGAGGUAGUCCAGGGAAAAGAUGACAGUGAAUUGAGUUAUGGGAUGGCAAUGGAGACUGAAAAGAAUCUGUGUUUAUUAUAUGUAUAUAUAUCAUUAAGGUAGAACUAGUGGAUUUUCUCUGGCACUGCACAUGGGAAGCAAGUGAAGGAGAGUGAUCUAGAAUGACGCCACCAUUUUUGCCUGAGAAAUUCAGUACUCAGAGGUGUCUGUCAUUCAGAGAGAUGGAGGAAACAAGAAGAGGAGCAAGUUGGGGGAGAGGGUAAGCAGAAUCAAAAACUGUGUUGAUACAUUAACUUUAGGAUGCAUAGUAGACAUCAGAGUACAGAUGGAGUUUAGGAGCAAAGUUAUAUAGAGAGAUAAAUUUGAGAACCUGUAAUUCUUUUAUUUGUGGCAGAUAAUUAGACAAAUGAUUUCUAAAUAUUCCCAUGACUACUACAGAACAUCAAUAAAUUCCUUAAUAAUA